AAUAAGCGCAGCUAUGAGUCUUCGUGUCCAACUUUGAUCGUCUGUCUUAUUUGAAAAAAAAUAUGAUUAGUAUUUUUAUUGUUAUUAGAUUAUAAAACAUGUAUAGUAUUUUAUAUGUGACUUCUUUUUUUAGUUUUUUUUUAAAUCAAAUAAGACGGACGAUUAAAGUUGAACACGGAAACUCAUGGCUGCGCUUAUU
Molecule: non-coding RNA, 199 nt
Organism: Oryza meridionalis
Lineage: Eukaryota; Viridiplantae; Streptophyta; Magnoliopsida; Poales; Poaceae
Source: Rfam